This is a long non-coding RNA of Vicia villosa (hairy vetch), 956 nucleotides long. RefSeq lists it as uncharacterized. The record is from RefSeq and is a predicted model, not a curated record. The transcript has 2 exons. NCBI's taxonomy places the organism in Eukaryota, Viridiplantae, Streptophyta, Magnoliopsida, Fabales, Fabaceae.
AAAUAUUGGAGGUUGAGGUCUCACACGGAUUGUGCUUCUUGCGGGCGGUUGAGAUCAAAACGUGAUGAUCUAACGAUGAGUAUUGAGUUAACAAUUUCAACUUCACCUUUCCCUUCAUCUCUCACUACCACUACUACCAUACUGAAUCAUCCGUUUCUUUCUCCUUCAGAUUUUUUUUUCUUCUUUUUUUUUUUCAAACAAAAAAGUAGAAACUAUGAGAAAUAUUAAAAUUAUGAAAAUAUAAAUUCGAUAGUUUCGGUGGCGGUUCAGGCGGUGGUCGCGGCCGAGAACAGUGGAUCUUUUUUUUUCGAAAUGGAUGUCGGAGAUACUGUCGGAGUUCUUGCUGGAGAUGCUACCGGAGUGCUCGCCGGAGUUGAUUUUAUUGAAACAGAAACUUUUUUUAUAUCUUCUUUUUCUUCCUCCAUCUGUUUUUUCACAAUACUCAGAACAUAUUUUUCUUGUGUUUUUCUGAAUGAAUCACAAAUAUUCUGAAUUUGUUCUUUCAACUCCUCUCUAGAUCUGUUUGCAAUUUCAUGAGUCUCUGUUAUAUAUUGUUUUAUAAUUUCUAGCUGGUGAAGUGUUUCUGGCUGUGAAAAGAAAUCUGGAGAUGAGGAUAGUUGUUGAGGUGGAGCAGAAACUACGGGUUGUUGUUGAUGGUGAAAUUGAGGAUAUGAGGUUGGAUAAUAAUAUGCAGGAAAUGGGUUUAUGAAUGGUGGGGUAAAAAUUGUUGUUGUAGUGGAAUAAUGUGAGUGAGUGCAUGGAGGAGAAAAUGGAUGGUUGUAGUAAGAAUAUGCCAUAGGAGAGGUUGAGUUUAUGGGUGGUGGAUAUGGAUAUGCCAUGGGAGGGAGAUUGAGUGCAAGAAUGAAAACACCAAUGUUAGGAUGCUAAUUAGGAACCCUAACAAACUAAGGAAAACUAAGAGAAAUAAAAGAGACAACUAAAAUAAACUAAUAAAA